This 75-nucleotide transfer RNA is filed under the name Endocronartium harknessii PhW48OC. RNAcentral's name for it is "tRNA-Ala (AGC) (tRNA-Ala-AGC-15-1)". It matches the Rfam family "tRNA". From Rfam's summary of the family: Transfer RNA (tRNA) molecules are approximately 80 nucleotides in length. RNAcentral also lists the same sequence under 1 other name. Lineage: Eukaryota; Fungi; Basidiomycota; Pucciniomycetes; Pucciniales; Coleosporiaceae. The record is from RNAcentral.
GACUGGAUAGCCUAGUGGUCAAAGGCAGUGCUUCUAGCAAUGAUGAGGUCCUAGGUUUGAAUCCUGGUCUAGUCA